RNAcentral lists this ribosomal RNA (250 nucleotides) under uncultured bacterium. RNAcentral describes it as "partial 16S ribosomal RNA". It matches the Rfam family "Bacterial small subunit ribosomal RNA", at positions 524 to 773 of the family's 1533-position model. The record is from RNAcentral.
UACGGAGGGUGCGAGCGUUGCUCGGAAUUACUGGGCGUAAAGCGUACGCAGGCUGCCGUGCAAGUCGGGUGUGAAAGCCCGGGGCUCAACCCCGGAAAUGCGCCCGAGACUGCAUGGCUUGAAUGCGGGAGAGGAUAGCGGAAUUCCUGGUGUAGAGGUGAAAUUCGUAGAUAUCAGGAGGAACACCUGUGGCGAAAGCGGCUAUCUGGCCCGACAUUGACGCUCAUGUACGAAAGCGCGGGGAGCAAAC